AGCGAACGCUGGCGGCAGGCCUAACACAUGCAAGUCGAACGAACCUUUCGGGGUUAGUGGCGGACGGGUGAGUAACACGUGGGAACGUGCCUUUAGGUUUGGAAUAACUCAGGGAAACUUGUGCUAAUACCGAAUGUGCUCUUCGGGGGGAAGAUUGAUCGCCUUUAGAGCGGCCCGCGUCUGAUGAGCUAGUUGGUUGAGGUAAUGGCUCACCAAGGCGACGAUCAGUAGCUGGUCUGAGAGGAUGAUCAGCCACAUUGGGACUGAGACGCAGCCCAAACUCCUGCGGGAGGCAGCAGUGGGGAAUCUUGCGCAAUGGGCGAAAGCCUGACGCUGCCAUGCCGCGUGAAUGAUGAAGGUCUUAGGAUUGUAAAAUUCUUUCACCGGGGACGAUAAUGACGGUACCCGGAGAAGAAGCCCCGGCUAACUUCGUG
Molecule: ribosomal RNA, 434 nt
Filed under: uncultured bacterium
Lineage: Bacteria
Description: partial 16S ribosomal RNA
Rfam family: Bacterial small subunit ribosomal RNA
Source: RNAcentral